GUCCACGCCGUAAACGAUGAGUGCUAGAUGUCGCUGGUAUUGACCCCGGCGGUAUCGCAGCUAACGCGUUAAGCACUCCGCCUGGGGAGUACGGCCGCAAGGCUAAAACUCAAAGGAAUUGACGGGGCCCGCACAAGCGGUGGAGCAUGUGGUUCAAUUCGACGCAACGCGAAGAACCUUACCUGGGUUGGAACCCCCGGAAGUCCGCAGAGAUGUGGAUGUGCCCGCAAGGGAGCCGGGUGUCCAGGUGCUGCAUGGCUGUCGU
RNAcentral lists this ribosomal RNA (265 nucleotides) under uncultured bacterium. RNAcentral describes it as "partial 16S ribosomal RNA". It matches the Rfam family "Bacterial small subunit ribosomal RNA", at positions 793 to 1055 of the family's 1533-position model. The record is from RNAcentral.